Molecule: ribosomal RNA, 301 nt
Filed under: uncultured bacterium
Lineage: Bacteria
Description: partial 16S ribosomal RNA
Rfam family: Bacterial small subunit ribosomal RNA
Source: RNAcentral
CAGUCGCCACGGUAAUACGUAGGUCCCGAGCGUUGUCCGGAUUUAUUGGGCGUAAAGGGAGCGCAGGCGGUUUAGUAAGUCUGAAGUUAAAGGCAUUGGCUCAACCAAUGUAUGCUUUGGAAACUGUUAGACUUGAGUGCAGAAGGGGAGAGUGGAAUUCCAUGUGUAGCGGUGAAAUGCGUAGAUAUAUGGAGGAACACCGGUGGCGAGAGCGGCUCUCUGGUCUGUCACUGACGCUGAGGCUCGAAAGCGUGGGUAGCGAACAGGAUUAGAUACCCGAGUAGUCCCUGUCUCUUAUACC